UCCCUUGUGGCUCAGUUGGUAAAGAAUUCACCUGCAAUGUGGGAGACCUGGGUUCAAUCCCUGGUUUGGGAA
This 72-nucleotide transfer RNA is filed under the name Ovis aries (sheep). It matches the Rfam family "tRNA". Rfam says of the family: Transfer RNA (tRNA) molecules are approximately 80 nucleotides in length. Their secondary structure includes four short double-helical elements and three loops (D, anti-codon, and T loops). Lineage: Eukaryota; Metazoa; Chordata; Mammalia; Artiodactyla; Bovidae. The record is from Rfam by way of RNAcentral.